This 253-nucleotide ribosomal RNA is filed under the name uncultured bacterium. RNAcentral's name for it is "partial 16S ribosomal RNA". It matches the Rfam family "Bacterial small subunit ribosomal RNA", at positions 524 to 776 of the family's 1533-position model. The record is from RNAcentral.
UACGUAGGGUGCAAGCGUUAAUCGGAAUUACUGGGCGUAAAGCGUGCGCAGGCGGUUAUGUAAGACAGAUGUGAAAUCCCCGGGCUCAACCUGGGAAUUGCGAUGGAGACUGCAAGGCUAGAAUCUGGCAGAGGGGGGUAGAAUUCCACGUGUAGCAGUGAAAUGCGUAGAGAUGUGGAGGAACACCGAUGGCGAAGGCAGCCCCCUGGGUCAAGAUUGACGCUCAUGCACGAAAGCGUGGGGAGCAAACAGG